CGCUUUGAGUCCGGCUGAUGUUGGAGAAAGGCGCUAUAUGAAUUUCAUUAUCAUUAUUCACUGUCCACACUAUGAAUGUGCAUGUUCCUCAUACUGUGCAUGUGCAUGUUCAUUGUUCACACCUGUAGGCAGACUGAACUUCGGGCUAUCAAUAGCUGCAUACAUUCUUCCGGUUGUCGGCCUCAUCUUGGAUGUGCUGGUGGACGAAACGGGGACAUGGCAUUCACCUGAAUCAACCACAGCAGACGGCAUCUGUCAAGAGAACAUCCCUGAAACGCGCGCUGAAGUCUCUGUGCUGUCAACCGUGUCCUCCCCACUGCACCCGACGACGAGACCACGCCCACCAACCCGUGUGCGACCCUGAAGCCCCGUCUGUCACCUAUGACCUCGUUCCUUCAUCCCAGAGCAGUGCAACGACAGCGGCACAGCAGCAACAGCAGCAACAGCAGCAGCGAAUCCGGCAGCAGAAGUAGCCUCGCUGUCAGCUGAACAGAAAGAUGGGGAGUUUGGGGUGUGGAGGAGGAAGGAUGGAGACGGAAGCAGAAAGACUGCAGAGAUUGCAGGACUGAAGUCAAGUUUAAUAACCACAGUGAUAUCGCGUGUGGUGACAUUCGGCAGGUUCGCGAGUGUGUGCGAGGACAUGACAUUUUCAUUAUUUUUGUUUUGUUUAUUCAUUGUUACUCCCCGAGGCAGCAACACCACCUCCAGCGGACCCGGUAUAUGGCAGCACCCCGUCAGUUGGGCCCAGGUGGUUCCCACGUCCUUUGCCUCGCUCUCUACUGUUCUUUUCCAAGUCUGCUUUGGUCUCCCAACUCUCCUCUUCCCCUGAGGAUUCCAGUCAAGUGCCUGCGUGGCAAUGGUGUCAGCUGGUUUGUGCAGUGUAUGUCCUAUCCAGCUCCAGUUGUGCUUUGUGAUGUCUUGUGGCAUUCUGGUUGAAUCUUUUCCACAGGCAGCUGUUGAUCUUUUCAGGCCAUCUUAUUCCCAGAAUAUGGCGUAGGCAUCGGUUGGCAAAGCUCUAGAGCUUGUUGUUGAUGGUGUUUAUUUUUUUAUUAUUUAAAAAAUCAUAUUUCAUUGAACUGGCCAGUCACUUUAGUUCAUAUUUUCAUUAAGUUGCCUAGUAUUUUUGUUCACCCUUCGACUAACCAGCCAGUCAUGUUUAUUAAUAUUUCAGUAGACUGGCCAGUCACUGCUGACAAUCCGAUGAACAAACAAUUCAUUUUUGUGCGCUGUUCGAUGAACUGGUCAGUUAUUUCUGUUUACAUUUCCAGGUUGCCAGUCAUUUUCAUUUAAAUGUCGAUGUUAUUUUUUGUCCCAUAAAUAUCGCCAGUGUGGAAGUAGAUCUUUCCUAUUUAUCAUUAUUUGGAACUGUCUUCAAGCUUUUUUUCUGUCAUGGCCUUUACCCGAAGGAUUUUUCACGUAUGAAUGCAGUUUAUGAUUCUUGUUUACCUUUCUCUGCAAGAUGGUGAGUGAAUGAAUGAAUCUAUCAUUGUUGUUUUAUCCUUAAUGCUCAUGAUUGAAAGUAAAGUGAACAAGAAUUAUUAUUAUUAUUUCAUUUUGUUGUCUUUUUUCAAAAAAUAAAUAAUUCGAAAGGAA
RNAcentral lists this long non-coding RNA (1593 nucleotides) under Pomacea canaliculata. RNAcentral's name for it is "uncharacterized LOC112574711". Lineage: Eukaryota; Metazoa; Mollusca; Gastropoda; Architaenioglossa; Ampullariidae. The record is from RNAcentral.